Molecule: ribosomal RNA, 253 nt
Filed under: uncultured bacterium
Lineage: Bacteria
Description: partial 16S ribosomal RNA
Rfam family: Bacterial small subunit ribosomal RNA
Source: RNAcentral
UACGGAGGGCGCGAGCGUUGUUCGGAAUCAUUGGGCGUAAAGCGCGUGUAGGCGGCUUGGUAAGUCGAGUGUGAAAGCCCGGGGCUCAACCCCGGAAGGUCGCUCGAAACUGCCUGGCUAGAGUCCCGGAGAGGAAGGCGGAAUUCCCGGUGUAGAGGUGAAAUUCGUAGAUAUCGGGAGGAACACCAGCGGCGAAGGCGGCCUUCUGGACGGUGACUGACGCUGAGACGCGAAAGCGUGGGGAGCAAACAGG